UACAGAGGGUGCUAGCGUUAAUCGGAUUUACUGGGCGUAAAGCGUGUGUAGGCGGUUUGUUAAGUCGGGUGUGAAAUCCCUGGGCUCAACCUGGGAAUUGCAUUCGAUACUGGCAAGCUAGAGUACGGUAGAGGGCGGCGGAAUUCCAGGUGUAGCGGUGAAAUGCGUAGAUAUCUGGAGGAAUACCGGUGGCGAAGGCGGCAUCCUGGACCGGCAUUGACGCUGAGGAGCGAAAGCCAGGGGAGCAAACGGG
RNAcentral lists this ribosomal RNA (253 nucleotides) under uncultured bacterium. RNAcentral describes it as "partial 16S ribosomal RNA". It matches the Rfam family "Bacterial small subunit ribosomal RNA", at positions 524 to 776 of the family's 1533-position model. The record is from RNAcentral.